This 241-nucleotide ribosomal RNA is filed under the name uncultured bacterium. Its description in RNAcentral is "partial 16S ribosomal RNA". It matches the Rfam family "Bacterial small subunit ribosomal RNA", at positions 15 to 248 of the family's 1533-position model. The record is from RNAcentral.
GUUCAUGACUCAGGAUGAACGCUAGCUACAGGCUUAACACAUGCAAGUCGAGGGGCAGCAUGGACUUAGCUUGCUAAGUUUGAUGGCGACCGGCGCACGGGUGAGUAACACGUAUCCAACCUGCCGAUGACUCGGGGAUAGCCUUUCGAAAGAAAGAUUAAUACCCGAUGGCAUAGUUCUUCCGCAUGGUAGGACUAUUAAAGAAUUUCGGUCAUCGAUGGGGAUGCGUUCCAUUAGGUUG